CGAAAUAGCUCAGCUGGUAGAGCAACGGUUUUGUAAACCGUGGGUCGGAGGUUCGAGUCCUCUUUUCGG
This 69-nucleotide transfer RNA is filed under the name marine eukaryotic metagenome. It matches the Rfam family "tRNA". Rfam says of the family: Transfer RNA (tRNA) molecules are approximately 80 nucleotides in length. The record is from RNAcentral.